AUACGGAGGGGGUUAGCGUUGUUCGGAAUUACUGGGCGUAAAGCGCACAUAGGCGGAUUGGAAAGUUGGGGGUGAAAUCCCAGGGCUCAACCCUGGAACUGCCUCCAAAACUAACAGUCUAGAGUUCGAGAGAGGUGAGUGGAAUUCCAAGUGUAGAGGUGAAAUUCGUAGAUAUUUGGAGGAACACCAGUGGCGAAGGCGGCUCACUGGCUCGAUACUGACGCUGAGGUGCGAAAGCGUGGGGAGCAAACAGGAUUAGAAACCCUAGUAGUCC
RNAcentral lists this ribosomal RNA (274 nucleotides) under uncultured bacterium. RNAcentral describes it as "partial 16S ribosomal RNA". It matches the Rfam family "Bacterial small subunit ribosomal RNA", at positions 523 to 796 of the family's 1533-position model. The record is from RNAcentral.